Molecule: long non-coding RNA, 3877 nt
Organism: Schistocerca piceifrons (Central American locust)
Lineage: Eukaryota; Metazoa; Arthropoda; Insecta; Orthoptera; Acrididae
Exons: 2
Source: RefSeq, a predicted model, not a curated record
UGUCGUAGGAUCUCUUUUAUUCUUUAAAUACAUAAAUGACCUGACGGACAGAGUGAGCAGCAGUUUGCGGCAGUUUGCUCAUGAAGCUGCGAUGUACGGGAAGGUGUCGUCAUUGAGUGACUGAAGCAGUGUACAACAUUACUUAGACAAACUUUCUAGUUUGCGUGAUGAAUGCGAGCUUGUCCUAAAUGUAGGAAAAUGUCAGUUAACGCGGACGAGUAGAAAAAUAGUCCUGUAAUGUUCAAACACAGCAUUAGUAGGUUGCAGGUUGAACAGUCAUUUCGAUUAAGUACCUAGGCAUAACGUUGCAAAGCAAUAUGAAAUGGAAUGAGUACGUCAGGUUAGUAGUAGAGAAGGCGAAUGUUCGACUUCGUUUUGUUGGGAGGAUUUUAGGAAAGUGUAGCUGAUCCAUAAUGUAGACGGUGUACAGAACUUUAGUGCGAUCCAUUCUUGAGUAUUGAUCGAGUGUUUUGGAUUCCCAACAGUCAGAUGGAAGGAAGCCACAGAAGCAGGCUGAUAGAUUAGUUACCGGUAGGUGUGAUCAACCAUAACCACCACCACCUAGAGUCAAGGCUGCGGCGCGAAUUUCAUAGACGGGCCACCAUUUUGUGUUUAGAAGCGUUUCAGUAUGUGCACGUAUGUUGGAACAUGGUUUACAAAUGCUGUGUACAAAGGUGUCGUGAGAAUUACGGAACUAGACCGAAAGUAAUGGUAUUUUCCUUUCCGAAAGAUUCGAAUCUGUGUCGGAAAUGGCUUUCAGCGAUUCAUUGGGACAAUUUCCAACCCACUCAGCACAAGAAGGCACGCUGGGCACCUGCCAUCAUCACCGAGCUCUGCGGCCAGGCAAUGGCAUCUCUCCAGUGGGCCGACGGUUCCGCCGUCUGCUGACACCUCAACCAGCUCUGCCUCCGUCUGGUAGACCACGACACCCCAGGGAAGCUGCCAGUGCCUAUCGCCGACUGCCUUGUGGUGGAACCUCUGCUUCCGCCUCCACCGCAGCUGCUGUCUCCACCGCCAGCUGCCCGUGCUGCAUCACUGCCUCCCACCCCUGCUGGCCAUGAACCCCUGGAUGUCGACCAGGAUGCCCCUACUCCUGUGGAUGUUUGUGGUGCUGUGCAUUUUUUUCUCAGGGGGAGAAAUGUCGUAGCGGUUCCUUAUUGUUAGAGGACCCACAGAACCGACACACAAGAUGGGUUGCUAACUCCGUUUCAGCAGCACGGAGAGAAACAUCGCCAGCAGACAGAAACAAUAACAGACUUUUCAAAUAAACACGGAACUACUUCAGCAGACAACACACCAACUCUGUUCCACCAAUAGGAACUUAUAUGUCUGAUGUAGCUCUCUGCCGACCUGGCUUUAUAAGCACGCCUAGACAGGCAGUGUUUACCAACCUCUAGGAACAGCUCCGGCCAGUACUUACGCCAGCCCUAGCAUUGUAUUCACUCGCCAUAGCAUUGUAGUAGCAUGUUGUAUUUUGUACUGUACAGUAAAUUUUGGUCAGUAUUUUUCUUGCAUUGUCUUGUUUCCUUAUUUGGUUUGUUACCACAAGAUUUGUGGAUUUUCUUGUUAUUCUUGCGUUUAAAACUUAGUGUAUGCCAAGAAGGCCUUUUUUUUCUUUAAUUAUAAUAAAGUGUGUUCAAAUUGACUGUUAGUUAUUUUUCCUGCUGACUGCAAGACACAACAGUCACAAAUUUGAUCAUCAUAAAAUCCACACGCUUUAAGAGGAACCCCAGGGACCUUGAGAAAAUCAGAGUGCUGGUUGCCGUAACUCGAGUGCGAAUUAUAGCGCUGACCUUUUUCAGUACAACCAUCACUACUGAUGUAUUUUGUCCCCAUAUAUUUUUCCCUUUAUUGCACCACUGAAUGAAAAUGAGAUUAAUCAUUUAUUUUUGCAACAUGACAACGCCACUGCUGAUAAGGCACACCAGUGCCUACGACUUUUUGAUGAAAUCUUUGGAGGCAGAGUAAUUACGAAAGGUCUCUGGGCCAUGUGCUCAACAGAUCUGUCACAGCCCAACUAUUGCCUUUGGGGUGCGGUUAAAACAUUUGCAUAUCAAAAUAACCCAAAGACAAUGGAUGAACUAAAGACAGCAAUAAUUGGUUAUCUGCACUGAGUUACAAAAGAAACAUUGGCAAAGGUGUUCACAAAUAAAUGUAGACGUGUUGAUCUAUGCCUUAAAGAAAGAGGAAAACAUUUCCAGUGUCUACUAUGAUAGUGAUGAGUAUAGUGUAUUUAACUGUAAUUAAUAUAAUUAAUAAAUUUCAUUGUUUUAAUUGUAAUAAUGUUGAAUCCCAUCUCCCAACAUGACUGCAGCCACUAGCAGUGAAUCCAGGUCCCUAGCUUAUACAACAACAUGAAUGUACUGCCAACCUUAGGGAUUGAAAACAGCAACCAAUCACAUUAUUUCUAAGAAUCAAGUCAUGGCAGCAAGUACAGCUCAUGUGAGCUUUGUUCCACAGAGAGCUCACUGUGCUCAGACUCAAUACCAUCACCAAAGUUGAUAGACAUCGCUAACAGUAAAAACUGGGCAUGUACACAUCAUAUCAACAUCAUGGAUAGAUAUUACCACGAUUACCCUAACAUCUUCCAUUGCUUGACAGUUUGUGGGUGUGCAGUUCCACCCAUCAGCUAUGACCAGUGGUGUCAUGAGUUUAUGAUGAGGAGUAUUGUAUAGUGGAUUUCUGUGGCUGUUUGAGUAACAUAAACUAUAAUUCUUAUUUACUUCAUGUAUGUAUGUUUUGUUUUCUUUCUGUGGGUAUUUUUAUCAUGUUAUGUUUGCAAUAUAAUUUGUGGUUAAAGAGUUAUGUAUGGGAACUGUCAUUAUAAUUUAUAGUAGCAAUAUUUGUUUGAAUGAUCUUUUAUUUCUGGAUAUGUUUGUUUGUUUUCCUAUCCUAUUGUGCUUGCAGUAUAAAUGAUGUUUCAAUAAUGUUUGUGUAUUGAGACUGUCUUGUAUUAACUGUGAUUUCUGUAUUGUGUAAUGGAUGCAAUGGUUGUAUUUAAUGCUCAAGUGUAGCAAGAGAUGUGUGGGGCCAUGAGUCAUGCAGUAAAUUUUACAGAAAAUAGGAGUUAUUUGUGAUUAUUGUGUGUGUGUGUGUGUGUGUGUGUGUGUGUGUGUGUGUGUGUGUGUGUGUGUGUGUGUGUGUGGGGUCCAUUAUUUUUGUGAGUUUUCAUUAGAUAUAUAUUGUGAUUUAGUUUAUGAUUUAUUUAGGAUUUACUUUUGUGGUAUCACUGUCUAUACUUGAGCUCUACAGGGUUACCCAGGAUGAAUGAUCAAUAUUCAGAGAUUUGACGGGAGUGCUCAUUUGAAGCAUCUAACUUCAUAUUGGCAUACACCCUAUUCCAAAGGUUUUCAAGGUAGAACAUUUAAUGUACAUUUGAUUUUGGGCUAGUGGCACACUCAUAUGUGCCUUAGUACCCACCCUGCUUGAAAUUUCAUACUAGCCCAACCUACCUCGUUGCUUUCCACCUCUUUGCUUGGUGUAUCUUUCUGCAGUUAAACUAGCUCACUGCAUACACAGCUGUCCAUGGUGUUUCUUGAGUGAAAUAGUGGGAGGGAUUGAGGGUGUAUCAGAGUGGUUCAUCAGUUAGCUGUGUUUGUACAUGUGCUGGCUAAAAUGCCACACAUCUACAUUAAUGAAGAAUAUCCAGAUGUGGUGUAUGCUUAUGGCUUCUGUGAUGGUAGUGCCCCUGCUGAUGUUGAAGAAUAUCAUGGCACUUUCUGACAUGUAGAAUUCCUGAGUGUAGGAUGUUUACUUACAGGUGAAUGUGUUACAAAUACAUACUUUUCAAUUGAUUACUAACUGUUGUACAUGCACACAUUUGUAAACCUGACAAUGUAGGGAAUAAUACAGGAAAUAAAUAAUAAUGUAUGUCAAA